Molecule: ribosomal RNA, 757 nt
Filed under: alpha proteobacterium SCGC AAA015-K13
Lineage: Bacteria; Pseudomonadati; Pseudomonadota; Alphaproteobacteria
Description: SSU rRNA
Rfam family: Bacterial small subunit ribosomal RNA
Source: RNAcentral
AGUCGAACGAGAUCUUCGGAUCUAGUGGCAGACGGGUGAGUAACGCGUGGGAACCUGCCCAGUAGUAGAGAAUAACUUGGGGAAACUUAAGCUAAUACUUUAUACGUCCUUCGGGAGAAAGCUUUAUGCGCUAUUGGAUGGGCCCGCGUUAGAUUAGUUUGUUGGUGAGGUAACGGCUCACCAAGGCGACGAUCUAUAGCUGGUCUGAGAGGAUGAUCAGCCACACUGGGACUGAGACACGGCCCAGACUCCUACGGGAGGCAGCAGUGGGGAAUAUUGGACAAUGGGGGCAACCCUGAUCCAGCGAUGCCGCGUGAGUGAUGAAGGCCCUAGGGUUGUAAAACUCUUUCGUCAGGGAAGAUAAUGACGGUACCUGAAGAAGAAGAUCCGGCUAACUCCGUGCCAGCAGCCGCGGUAAUACGGAGGGGUCUAGCGUUAUUCGGAAUUACUGGGCGUAAAGCGAGCGUAGGCGGAUUUGUAAGUUGGAGGUGAAAUCCCAGAGCUUAACUCUGGAACUGCCUUCAAAACUACAUUUCUUGAGUUUGGUAGAGGAGAGUGGAAUUCCUAGUGUAGAGGUGAAAUUCGUAGAUAUUAGGAGGAACACCAGUGGCGAAGGCGACUCUCUGGGCCAAUACUGACGCUGAGGUUCGAAAGCAUGGGUAGCGAACAGGAUUAGAUACCCUGGUAGUCCAUGCAGUAAACGAUGAGUGCUAGAUGUUGGGAAUUUAAAUUUCCAGUAUCGCAGUUAACGCGUUAA